This 54-nucleotide non-coding RNA is filed under the name bovine gut metagenome. The record is from RNAcentral. RNAcentral also lists the same sequence under 1 other name.
AAAUGUGGACAGAUUUGGGCUGCUUGCAACCACGAAAAAAAAUGCUAAAAUCGU